This 239-nucleotide ribosomal RNA is filed under the name uncultured bacterium. Its description in RNAcentral is "partial 16S ribosomal RNA". It matches the Rfam family "Bacterial small subunit ribosomal RNA", at positions 524 to 761 of the family's 1533-position model. The record is from RNAcentral.
UACAGAGGUCCCAAGCGUUGUUCGGAUUCACUGGGCGUAAAGGGUGCGUAGGUGGUGAGGUAAGUCGGAUGUGAAAGCUCGGAGCUCAACUCCGAAAUGGCAUUGGAAACUACCUUGCUCGAGGGUUGGAGGGGGGACUGGAAUACUUGGUGUAGCAGUGAAAUGCGUAGAUAUCAAGUGGAACACCAGUGGCGAAGGCGGACGUCCUGGACAAGUCCUGACACUGAGGCACGAAAGGC